Molecule: ribosomal RNA, 497 nt
Filed under: uncultured bacterium
Lineage: Bacteria
Description: partial 16S ribosomal RNA
Rfam family: Bacterial small subunit ribosomal RNA
Source: RNAcentral
GAUGAACGCUGGCGGCGUGCCUAAUACAUGCAAGUCGAGCGAACAGACGAGGAGCUUGCUCCUCUGACGUUAGCGGCGGACGGGUGAGUAACACGUGGACAACCUACCUAUAAGACUGGGAUAACUUCGGGAAACCGGAGCUAAUACCGGAUAAUAUAUUGAACCGCAUGGUUCAAUAGUGAAAGACGGUUUUGCUGUCACUUAUAGAUGGAUCCGCGCCGCAUUAGCUAGUUGGUAAGGUAACGGCUUACCAAGGCGACGAUGCGUAGCCGACCUGAGAGGGUGAUCGGCCACACUGGAACUGAGACACGGUCCAGACUCCUACGGGAGGCAGCAGUAGGGAAUCUUCCGCAAUGGGCGAAAGCCUGACGGAGCAACGCCGCGUGAGUGAUGAAGGUCUUCGGAUCGCAAAACUCUGUUAUUAGGGAAGAACAAAUGUGUAAGUAACUAUGCACGUCUUGACGGUACCUAAUCAGAAAGCCACGGCUAACUACGUG